Molecule: ribosomal RNA, 492 nt
Filed under: uncultured bacterium
Lineage: Bacteria
Description: partial 16S ribosomal RNA
Rfam family: Bacterial small subunit ribosomal RNA
Source: RNAcentral
AGUGAACGCUGGCGGUAGGCCUAACACAUGCAAGUCGAACGGCAGCACAGUAAGAGCUUGCUCUUACGGGUGGCGAGUGGCGGACGGGUGAGGAAUACAUCGCAAUCUACUUUUUCGUGGGGGAUAACGUAGGGAAACUUACGCUAAUACCGCAUACGACCUACGGGUGAAAGCAGGGGAUCUUCGGACCUUGCGCGAUUGAAUGAGCCGAUGUCGGAUUAGCUAGUUGGCGGGGUAAAGGCCCACCAAGGCGACGAUGCGUAGCUGGUCUGAGAGGAUGAUCAGCCACACUGGAACUGAGACACGGUCCAGACUCCUACGGGAGGCAGCAGUGGGGAAUAUUGGACAAUGGGCGAAAGCCUGAUCCAGCAAUGCCGCGUGGGUGAAGAAGGCCUUCGGGUUGUAAAGCCCUUUUGUUGGGAAAGAAAAGCAGCAGGUUAAUCCCCCGCUGUCCUGACGGUACCCAAAGAAUAAGCACCGGCUAACUUCGUG